Microcebus murinus (gray mouse lemur) is the source of this 1432-nucleotide non-coding RNA. The record is from RefSeq and is a predicted model, not a curated record. Lineage: Eukaryota; Metazoa; Chordata; Mammalia; Primates; Cheirogaleidae.
GCGGUGACCGCGUCCGCCCGCCGGGAGCCGCGGGGCGCGCAGCCUUCCUGAUGUGUCACCAGCACGUGGAGCCAGGAGUGCACUCGGCAGAGAGCUCUGUGGUGCCCGGCCCGGAGAGGGUUCGGUGAAGGGCGGGCGCGCUGCGCUGCUCAGGAAGUGACACUCGAUCUGAACGUGCGGAUGGAGCCCGCCUUCCUUGAUCCUCCAUGGACCACCUUUCCCGACAGCCUCCUCUCUGGCCCUCCUGCCCCAGCCGAACCGUGCUGGGAUGGUGAUUCUGGGUUAGAAAGUCCAGCUCUUGGUUCUGGAUUCCUCCCUGGUCUGCACCGUGAGGCCCAGCGCCCAUGCGGCCUUCUGCCCCGCUGGGGGUUUGUCCUGCAGGUCCAGAUGCUGCCAGCGCCAAGGCGUUCCCGCUGGGCCUGGGCCAGAGUGGCCGCCGCAGAGCUCCUCCCUCCCUGCCAGCCUCCUCGGAGUGCUCCCUCCCCCAGCACAGGCAGGAAGGGCUUUCUGGGCGGCUUGACUGGUGGGGAAGCAAUUAGUGCUCGCUUUCUGUUUUGACUCUGGUGUCUAGCAGAGUCUGUGACAUCACAGAAAAGCAGCCUUGGGCUUGCGUGAGUUUGGGAUCUGUCCCUGACACCCUGGCCAUCGAGGAGUUGUCUGGGAGUAGGGGUGGGCACUCCCACUGCCCCCUGGGUAUGAGGUGGCCAUCUGCUGGCUUUCCAUGGCCUUUCAAGGGACCACCUCUCCCCUACUCUGUAUCCCUGUGGUUCAGGUAGGACCAGCCCCACCACUGGCUUUAGACACAGGCAUGCGAUCCAGGCCUGGGCAUGGGUUCUUGAGACCCUGCUGUGGGCCUUCUGCAGCAGCUAUGGGGAAAGAGGCAUCCUCUUCAUGUGGGAGUUGCUAGGUUGACAGGAUGGGAGCUUGGAACUGCUGCUGGCUAUCCUGUCCUCCGCUCGAGAACAAAGGCAACAAAGAAGAAAGAGAACUAAGAGUUGGAACGUAUGCUGUCCAGAUGUCCUUGAGCCCCUGGAUCCAGCCAUGCCUGAGGUGAACUCUGCCCGUGGACUAAACUGAUUACAUGAGCCAGUGCAUUGCUCUUUUUCUAAAACCGGCCUGAAAUGGGUUUCUGUCACAGAAAGGGUCCUAAUAGAGGUAAUGUUUUUCCUUGGUCUUAUUUUUUUUUAAAAUCAGCUUCAUUGAGGUAUACUUUACAUGUAAUGAAACCCACCCGUUUUAAAUGUAUGACUCACACGUUUUGUCAAAUGUGUACACCCUUGUAACCACCACCACAAUUAAGAUCUAGAACAUGUCUUAUCUCCUGGGGGACAUGGUCAGUCCCUCAGACCUCAGACAACCACUGCUCUGCCUUUGGUCUGGAGUCUCAUUUUGCCUUUUCUACAAUUUCAUAUAAAGAUUUUCACGGAGCGUG